RNAcentral lists this ribosomal RNA (513 nucleotides) under uncultured bacterium. Its description in RNAcentral is "bacterial SSU rRNA". It matches the Rfam family "Bacterial small subunit ribosomal RNA", at positions 355 to 883 of the family's 1533-position model. The record is from RNAcentral.
UGGGGAAUUUUGCGCAAUGGGGGGAACCCUGACGCAGCAACGCCGCGUGGAGGAUGAAGUCUCUUGGGACGUAAACUCCUUUCGAUAGGGAAGAUUAUGACGGUACCUAUAGAAGAAGCCCCGGCUAACUUCGUGCCAGCAGCCGCGGUAAUACGAGGGGGGCAAGCGUUGUUCGGAAUUAUUGGGCGUAAAGGGCGCGUAGGCGGUUUGGCAAGUUUGGUGUGAAAUCUUCGGGCUCAACUCGAAGUCUGCAUCGAAAACUGCCGGGCUUGAGUAUGGGAGAGGUGAGUGGAAUUUCCGGUGUAGCGGUGAAAUGCGUAGAUAUCGGAAGGAACACCUGUGGCGAAAGCGGCUCACUGGACCAUAACUGACGCUGAGGCGCGAAAGCUAGGGGAGCAAACAGGAUUAGAUACCCUGGUAGUCCUAGCCCUAAACGAUGAUUGCUUGAUGUGGCAGGUACCCAAUCCUGCCGUGUCGAAGCUAACGCGAUAAGCAAUCCGCCUGGGGGAGUAC